CCUACGGGGGGCUGCAGUGGGGAAUAUUGGACAAUGGGGGCAACCCUGAUCCAGCCAUGCCGCGUGUGUGAAGAAGGCCCUCGGGUUGUAAAGCACUUUCAGUGAGGAAGAACGCCUGGUGGUUAAUACCCAUCAGGAAAGACAUCACUCACAGAAGAAGCACCGUCUAACUCCGUGCCAGCGGCCGCGGUAAUACGGAGGGUGCGAGCGUUAAUCUGAAUUACUGGGCGUAAAGCGCGCGUAGGUGGCUUGAUAAGCCGGUUGUGAAAGCCCCGGGCUCAACCUGGGAACGGCAUCCGGAACUGUCAAGCUAGAGUGCAGGAGAGGAAGGUAGAAUUCCCGGUGUAGCGGUGAAAUGCGUAGAGAUCGGGAGGAAUACCAGUGGCGAAGGCGGCCUUCUGGACUGACACUGACACUGAGGUGCGAAAGCGUGGGUAGCAAACAGGAUUAGAUACCCCAGUAGUC
This 465-nucleotide ribosomal RNA is filed under the name Vreelandella stevensii. RNAcentral describes it as "partial 16S ribosomal RNA". It matches the Rfam family "Bacterial small subunit ribosomal RNA", at positions 338 to 795 of the family's 1533-position model. The record is from RNAcentral. Lineage: Bacteria; Pseudomonadati; Pseudomonadota; Gammaproteobacteria; Oceanospirillales; Halomonadaceae.